This 497-nucleotide ribosomal RNA is filed under the name Eimeria canadensis. Its description in RNAcentral is "SSU rRNA". It matches the Rfam family "Eukaryotic small subunit ribosomal RNA", at positions 581 to 1083 of the family's 1831-position model. Lineage: Eukaryota; Apicomplexa; Conoidasida; Eucoccidiorida; Eimeriidae. The record is from RNAcentral.
AAUUCCAGCUCCAAUAGUGUAUAUUAGAGUUGUUGCAGUUAAAAAGCUCGUAGUUGGAUUUCUGCUGUGGUCAUCCGGUACCGCCCGUAUGGGUGCGCACCUGGUUUGGCUCCGGCUUUCUUCCUGUAGCCGUCCGCGCUUAAUUGCGUGUACUGUGUUACGGAACUUUUACUUUGAGAAAAAUAGAGUGUUUCAAGCAGGCUUGUCGCCCUGAAUACUUCAGCAUGGAAUAAUAGGAUAGGACCUUGGUUCUAUUUUGUUGGUUUCUAGGACCAAGGUAAUGAUUAAUAGGGACAGUUGGGGGCAUUCGUAUUUAACUGUCAGAGGUGAAAUUCUUAGAUUUGUUAAAGACGAACUACUGCGAAAGCAUUUGCCAAGGAUGUUUUCAUUAAUCAAGAACGACAGUAGGGGGUUUGAAGACGAUUAGAUACCGUCGUAAUCUCUACCAUAAACUAUGCCGACUAGAGAUAGGGAAAUGCCUACCUUGGCUUCUCCUG